Molecule: unclassified non-coding RNA, 2223 nt
Filed under: uncultured marine bacterium
Lineage: Bacteria
Description: partial contains 16S ribosomal RNA, 16S-23S ribosomal RNA intergenic spacer, and 23S ribosomal RNA
Rfam family: Bacterial small subunit ribosomal RNA (bases 1-1250)
Source: RNAcentral
AACGAACGCUGGCGGCAGGCCUAAUACAUGCAAGUCGAGCGCGCCCUUCGGGGUGAGCGGCGGACGGGUGAGUAACGCGUGGGAAUAUGCCCUUCUCUAAGGAAUAGCCUCUGGAAACGGAGAGUAAUACCUUAUACGCCCUUCGGGGGAAAGAUUUAUCGGAGAAGGAUUAGCCCGCGUUAGAUUAGGUAGUUGGUGGGGUAAUGGCCUACCAAGCCUACGAUCUAUAGCUGGUUUGAGAGGAUGAUCAGCCACACUGGGACUGAGACACGGCCCAGACUCCUACGGGAGGCAGCAGUAGGGAAUCUUAGACAAUGGGGGCAACCCUGAUCUAGCCAUGCCGCGUGUGUGAUGAAGGCCCUAGGGUCGUAAAGCACUUUCGCCAGAGAUGAUAAUGACAGUAUCUGGUAAAGAAACCCCGGCUAACUCCGUGCCAACAGCCGCGGUAAUACGGAGGGGGUUAGCGUUGUUCGGAAUUACUGGGCGUAAAGCGCACGUAGGCGGAUUAGUAAGUUAGAGGUGAAAUCCCAGGGCUCAACCCUGGAACUGCCUUUAAUACUGCUAGUCUUGAGUUCGAGAGAGGUAAGUGGAAUUCCGAGUGUAGAGGUGAAAUUCGUAGAUAUUCGGAGGAACACCAGUGGCGAAGGCGGCUUACUGGCUCGAUACUGACGCUGAGGUGCGAAAGUGUGGGGAGCAAACAGGAUUAGAUACCCUGGUAGUCCACACCGUAAACGAUGAAUGCCAGACGUCAGCAAGUAUACUUGUUGGUGUCACACCUAACGGAUUAAGCAUUCCGCCUGGGGAGUACGGUCGCAAGAUUAAAACUCAAAGGAAUUGACGGGGGCCCGCACAAGCGGUGGAGCAUGUGGUUUAAUUCGAAGCAACGCGCAGAACCUUACCAACCCUUGACAUCCUGUGCUACUACCAGAGAUGGUACGUUCCCUUCGGGGACGCAGUGACAGGUGCUGCAUGGCUGUCGUCAGCUUGUGUCGUGAGAUGUUCGGUUAAGUCCGGCAACGAGCGCAACCCACAUCUUUAGUUGCCAGCAGGUUAAGCUGGGCACUCUAGAGAAACUGCCCGUGAUAAGCGGGAGGAAGGUGUGGAUGACGUCAAGUCCUCAUGGCCCUUACGGGUUGGGCUAACGCUGCGCUAACCCUUCNGGGAGGCAGGCGGCCACGGUAGGAUCAGCGACUGGGGUGAAGUCGUAACAAGGUAGCCGUAGGGGAACCUGCGGCUGGAUCACCUCCUUUCUAAGGAUGAUCUUAGCAGCAAGACUUUUGUCUUACUCGUAGAUCACUUAGCAUGAUAUGUCCUUUGCAUAUCAAAACAUCAGUCCAUCUUUUGAUGGGCUUGGGCCGAGCCGUCCUCAUAUCUCUUCAGAAAUUGCAAGCCUUUGGCUUGUAUCAGCCGCCUGAUUGGACCACCACCGGCCCUUUCGGCAGACUUGUUUUGCAAGUCACCUGUCGGGCGUUGUCGAUCUUGUUACGCAAGAUCCACUGGGUCGGUAGCUCAGGUGGUUAGAGCGCACGCCUGAUAAGCGUGAGGUCGGAGGUUCAAGUCCUCCUCGACCCACCAUAUAUUACACCCUUAAAGGGGGCGUUAGCUCAGCUGGGAGAGCACCUGCUUUGCAAGCAGGGGGUCAUCGGUUCGAUCCCGAUACGCUCCACCAAGGACUUAAGUUUGAAAGUUAAGCAACUUGUGUUGUUUUGCUGUCCAACUUGGACAUUGAUCAGCCUUUGGGCUGACUUGACAUCGUAAAGAGAGAUACAAACAUCAGAAUUACUGAUGCGCCAAGUACGGUGUAUCGUGAUGUUGUUUGGCAUCGUGUAAGGGGGGUAGGAUUUAUCUUAUUCUUUUGUCGCGCUGCCUUUUAUAAGCAACAGUUCACAAAGUAAUUUUGUUCCAAGUUAAGUACAAUUAUACCUGAGUAAUUCCGCAAGGUUUUACUCAUCGUCGCUGCUCUAUCCGGGCAGUGGCGGCACGAAUGUUGCCCCCUCUUUGAACCAGCGGGGGCCCAUGGGAAUAAUUUUGUAUGACUUUUGGUUCAGAAUUUAGUCAUCUUCGGAUGAUGUUGCAGGACAUGCAAAAGGCCUGUCUUCUUCUGGAUCAAAUCAAGCGCGAAAAGGGCGUUUGGUGAAUGCCUUGGCAGUAAGAGGCGAUGAAGGACGUGAUACUCUGCGAUAAGUUAUGGGGAGCUGAGAAUAAGCUUUGAUCCAUAAAUUU